UGUGUUCCUAAAAAUCAAGGAGGGAUGGGAUUUCGUUAUAUCAAAUGUUUUAAUUUGGCGUUACUCGCCAAACAGGCAUGGCGUCUGUUGGAUAAUCCUGAUUCCUUGUGUGCUUCUAUCCUACGAGCAAAUUAUUACCCCGAUGGUGAUCUGUUAAAUGCGAAGGUAAAGAAAGGCUCUUCCUUUACAUGGCAAAGUAUCAUGGCAAGCACAAACACACUGAAACGUAGCUAUAUUUGGCGAGUGGGGAAUGGACACAACAUCAAUAUUUAG
RNAcentral lists this ribosomal RNA (273 nucleotides) under Triticum aestivum (bread wheat). RNAcentral's name for it is "partial small subunit ribosomal RNA". The record is from RNAcentral. Lineage: Eukaryota; Viridiplantae; Streptophyta; Magnoliopsida; Poales; Poaceae.